Molecule: ribosomal RNA, 273 nt
Filed under: uncultured bacterium
Lineage: Bacteria
Description: partial 16S ribosomal RNA
Rfam family: Bacterial small subunit ribosomal RNA
Source: RNAcentral
UACGGAGGGUGCAAGCGUUAUCCGGAUUCAUUGGGUUUAAAGGGUGCGCAGGCGGAAUGAUAAGUCAGUGGUGAAAUCCUACAGCUUAACUGUAGAACUGCCAUUGAUACUGUCAUUCUUGAGUACACUUGAAGUGGGCGGAAUGUAUCAUGUAGCGGUGAAAUGCAUAGAUAUGAUACAGAACUCCGAUAGCGAAGGCAGCUCACUAAAUUGUAACUGACGCUCAGGCACGAAAGCGUGGGGAGCAAACAGGAUUAGAUACCCUAGUAGUCC